ACACCCACGCCGAAAGACCAAGGGUUCCUGCGCAACGUUAAUCGACGCAGGGUUAGUCGGUUCCUAAGGCGAGGCUGAAAAGCGUAGUCGAUGGGAAACAGGUUAAUAUUCCUGUACUUCUGGUUACUGCGAUGGAGGGACGGAGAAGGCUAGGCCAGCUUGGCGUUGGUUGUCCAAGUUUAAGGUGGUAGGCUGAAAUCUUAGGUAAA
This 209-nucleotide ribosomal RNA is filed under the name Pseudomonas aeruginosa. Its description in RNAcentral is "partial 23S ribosomal RNA". It matches the Rfam family "Bacterial large subunit ribosomal RNA", at positions 1328 to 1540 of the family's 2925-position model. Lineage: Bacteria; Pseudomonadati; Pseudomonadota; Gammaproteobacteria; Pseudomonadales; Pseudomonadaceae. The record is from RNAcentral.